RNAcentral lists this ribosomal RNA (427 nucleotides) under uncultured bacterium. RNAcentral's name for it is "bacterial SSU rRNA". It matches the Rfam family "Bacterial small subunit ribosomal RNA", at positions 355 to 776 of the family's 1533-position model. The record is from RNAcentral.
UAACGAAUCUUGGGCAAUGGGCGCAAGCCUGACCCAGCAAUGCCGCGUGCAGGAGGAAGUCCUUCGGGAUGUAAACUGCUGUCAGGGGUUCGCAAGCAAAGGGUGUUAACAGCGCCCGGCGUUGAGCAGCCCCAAAGGAAGCCUCGACUAACUCUGUGCCAGCAGUCGCGGUAAGACAGAGGAGGCAAGCGUUGUUCGGAAUCACUGGGCUUAAAGCGCGUGUAGGCGGCCGGGAAAGUGUCGUGUGAAAUCCCACGGCUCAACCGUGGAACUGCACGGCAUACUACCCGGCUUGAGGUCGGUAGAGGUGCCUGGAACUCUAGGUGGAGCGGUGAAAUGCGUAGAUAUCUAGAGGAACGCCGGAGGCGAAAGCGGGGCACUGGGCCGAAUCUGACGCUGAGACGCGAAAGCGUGGGGAGCAAACAGG